RNAcentral lists this transfer RNA (89 nucleotides) under Acidimicrobiaceae bacterium. Its description in RNAcentral is "tRNA-Leu". It matches the Rfam family "tRNA". Rfam says of the family: Transfer RNA (tRNA) molecules are approximately 80 nucleotides in length. RNAcentral also lists the same sequence under 1 other name. The record is from RNAcentral. Lineage: Bacteria; Bacillati; Actinomycetota; Acidimicrobiia; Acidimicrobiales; Acidimicrobiaceae.
GCCCGGGUGGUGGAAUUGGCAGACACGGGGGGCUUAAACCCCCCUGGCUCGAAAGAGCCGUGCGGGUUCAAGUCCCGCCCCGGGCACCG